UUUUCAUUCUUCUUUCUCAUACUUUCUUAUUUUCUUUUCAUUCUCUGUCCCCCAUUCUUUUUUUCAUUUCAUGUCCGCAAGGGCAGGUAAACAGGUGCACAGCUUUCCGAGAACGAGAUCAAGCUUCUUUGUGCUUCUUCUAGAGAGAUUUUGUCCAGCAACACAAUUUGCUUGAGCUUGAAGCACCUAUCAAGAUUUGUGGUAAACAGGUCCAACUUUCCGAGAACGAGAUCAAGUUUCAUUGUGUUUCUUCCAGAGAGAUUUUGUCCAACAACUCAAUUUGCUUGAGCUUGAAGCACCUAUCAAGAUUUGUGGUGACAUGAAUGGGUAAACAGGUCCAGCUUUCCGAGAACGAGAUCAAGCUUCAUUGUGUUUCUUCCAGAGAUAUUUUGUCCAACAACUCAAUUUGCUUGAGCUUGAAGCACCUAUCAAGAUUUGUGGUGACAUUCAUGGGCAGUUUACUCAUUUGUUAAGACUUUUUGAAUAUGGGUUUCUACCUAAUGAAAUUUUUUUCUCUUUUUCAA
Molecule: non-coding RNA, 524 nt
Organism: Cucurbita pepo subsp. pepo (vegetable marrow)
Lineage: Eukaryota; Viridiplantae; Streptophyta; Magnoliopsida; Cucurbitales; Cucurbitaceae
Source: RefSeq, a predicted model, not a curated record